UGAGGAAUAUUGGUCAAUGGACGCAAGUCUGAACCAGCCAAGUAGCGUGCAGGAUGACGGCCCUAUGGGUUGUAAACUGCUUUUAUAUGGGGAUAAAGUGGGGAACGUGUUCCCUUUUGCAGGUACCAUAUGAAUAAGGACCGGCUAAUUCCGUGCCAGCAGCCGCGGUAAUACGGAAGGUUCGGGCGUUAUCCGGGUGUAUUGGGUUUAAAGGGUGCGUAGGCCGUUUGGUAAGCGUGUUGUGAAAUGUAGGAGCUCAACUUCUAGAUUGCAGAGCGAAAUGUCAGACUUGAGUGCGCACAACGUAGGCGGAAUUCAUGGUGUAGCGGUGAAAUGCUUAGAUAUCAUGAAGAAAUCCGAUUGCGAAGGCAGAUUACGGGGGCGCAACUGACGCUGAAGCUCGAAGGUGCGGGUAUCGAACAGG
This 424-nucleotide ribosomal RNA is filed under the name Verrucomicrobiota bacterium. RNAcentral describes it as "Verrucomicrobia bacterium partial 16S ribosomal RNA". It matches the Rfam family "Bacterial small subunit ribosomal RNA", at positions 355 to 776 of the family's 1533-position model. The record is from RNAcentral. Lineage: Bacteria; Pseudomonadati; Verrucomicrobiota.